CUCACCAAAUCCAUGUCUCAAUGGCGGUAUUUGUACAUCUACUGGCGGAUCGAGUUACAGCUGCGAUUGUUCAUCUGGAUGGUAUGGAUCAACUUGUAACUCACACGCAUGCUCACCAAAUCCAUGUCUCAAUGGCGGUAUUUGUACAUCUUCUGGCGGAUCGAGUUACAGCUGCGAUUGUUCAUCUGGAUGGUAUGGAUCAACUUGUAACUCAAACCCUUGCUCUCCAAAUCCUUGUAACAAUGGAGGGAUAUGCACUGGAACUGGAGCCACCUCUUUUAAUUGUGCAUGCACCUCGAG
Long non-coding RNA from Mytilus californianus (California mussel), 300 nucleotides. RefSeq lists it as uncharacterized. NCBI's taxonomy places the organism in Eukaryota, Metazoa, Mollusca, Bivalvia, Mytilida, Mytilidae. The record is from RefSeq and is a predicted model, not a curated record. The transcript is spliced from 3 exons.